CUCAGUCCCCUGACAGCUUUACUGACCACCAAGCACUUCCGCUUGCCACGGCAGAAACCCAGCCUGUGAGAAGAGCCCCUGCCGUGCUGAUGAUCCCCUCAGCACAGGAGCGGUACAGGACCCUGCUUCCCUAGGGCUUUUAGCUCGGGAGCCGGCUCCCAGCUCUGAAGCUCAGUGGAGUUUGCCGCUCUUCAAGGUGCCACACAGCAGGGACUCCAGCGUUUUGAAGGACACCAUAAUACAGAAACUAACCUCAGAAAGAGAAGCGAGGAAAAGCUGUGAGGCCAGCGUUAAAGAGUGGAUAAUGCCCCUGCGUGGGACAGAGGAUACUUCCUGUGCUGGACCUGUGUCCAAGGAGAUCCUGAGAGUCCCACUCGCCUUAGAGGAGGAGCUGCUGUUACCCCAGUGGGCAGAUGAGGAAGAGCAGCUGAUGUAUACAAGCCAAGCCUGAAGGCAUGGGGGCUGCUGCUCAGAUGGAGUUAACAGCCCCCAAUCUGGGGCCCUGGAGGAAGGGAAAGUGCAUCUGAGAUCUCCUCAAGACUGGGCCCCCCAGGGCUGCACUACAUUAAAUUUCCUUUCUUCUGGACCCUCAAAGGAUGAUGAAGGACUGCUGGGUCUUUCUGUGUGGUUUGGUGUGCUGGUUUUGGGGUGCUGGAAUGUGGGU
This is a long non-coding RNA of Fukomys damarensis (Damara mole-rat), 664 nucleotides long. NCBI's taxonomy places the organism in Eukaryota, Metazoa, Chordata, Mammalia, Rodentia, Bathyergidae. The record is from Ensembl.